GUGGGUAGUUUGACUGGGGCGGUCUCCUCCUAAAGAGUAACGGAGGAGCACGAAGGUUGGCUAAUCCUGGUCGGACAUCAGGAGGUUAGUGCAAUGGCAUAAGCCAGCUUGACUGCGAGCGUGACGGCGCGAGCAGGUGCGAAAGCAGGUCAUAGUGAUCCGGUGGUUCUGAAUGGAAGGGCCAUCGCUCAACGGAUAAAAGGUACUCCGGGGAUAACAGGCUGAUACCGCCCAAGAGUUCAUAUCGACGGCGGUGUUUGGCACCUCGAUGUCGGCUCAUCACAUCCUGGGGCUGAAGUAGGUCCCAAGGGUAUGGCUGUUCGCCAUUUAAAGUGGUACGCGAGCUGGGUUUAGAACGUCGUGAGACAGUUCGGUCCCUAUCUGCCGUGGGCGCUGGAGAACUGAGGGGGGCUGCUCCUAGUACGAGAGGACCGGAGUGGACGCAUCACUGGUGUUCGG
RNAcentral lists this ribosomal RNA (459 nucleotides) under Salmonella enterica subsp. enterica serovar Muenchen. RNAcentral describes it as "partial 23S ribosomal RNA". It matches the Rfam family "Bacterial large subunit ribosomal RNA", at positions 2261 to 2719 of the family's 2925-position model. RNAcentral also lists the same sequence under 2 other names. Lineage: Bacteria; Pseudomonadati; Pseudomonadota; Gammaproteobacteria; Enterobacterales; Enterobacteriaceae. The record is from RNAcentral.